UUUCCGUAGGUGAACCUGCGGAAGGAUCAUUAAUGUGUUUGGGCCUCACGGCUCUUCAUUCCGACGCUGUGCGCCUUCGGGCUGCACGCUGAGGGAGCAUAUACCCACCCCUGUGCACACACACGGUGGCGAGCUGGGUAACGGCUCGCCGCUGAUCUUUACACACGUCUAAAAGUCAUUGUAUGUUUAUUUGAGAUAAAAACACAACUUUCAGCAACGGAUCUCUUGGCUCUU
RNAcentral lists this unclassified non-coding RNA (234 nucleotides) under plant metagenome. Its description in RNAcentral is "partial contains small subunit ribosomal RNA, internal transcribed spacer 1, and 5.8S ribosomal RNA". The record is from RNAcentral.